AAAGCCGAGCUCCUGCAGGCGCGCCGUGGGCAGAGCUAAAGAUUGACGAGCACUUGAGCUCCGACUGACAACAAAAUACUGUUUUUUUACUGUAGUCCGGUGCUGUCAGUUGAGCCUGUUCUUCCAGCGAUUCUCCCCGAGACCUUCAAAGGUGCGCUCAUACAGCAAAAAAUGUAAAAAACUUCUCACCCAGUUUCGUGUCCUCCGAUGUUUGAAGAUCGUCUCCAGAUUCCAAGAUAUUCGUGUUAUGUUGCAGACAAUCUACAAAGCACGUGGGUUGAUGACGUUCAGGAAAUGCGUUCCAAUCUCUCCAAAGAGGUGCAGCAAUUGAAAAUCCUAUGCAGAGCAGAGAUUUUCAAAGCAAGUAAUAUGGAGGCAAUAAGCCAGACAAACCAACUGAAGGACCACAAACCUGUCAAAGAUGAGGAAAAACAUGAAAGUCCAAAUGCUCGUUUGGAAACAUGAAACCAUACCUCGAAACAUGAGCUAGAGUGGGACAUGGGUCUGGAUGCGUUUAUUCAGGCGGAUGAGUUUCAGGAUGACUGUGAGACAGAGUGCUGGCGUGAGGACAAUCUCUGCAGGUACUUUGAGCUGAUAGAAAAGCUCCAGCGCAACCUAGAGGAGAUGGACCAGCUUCAGGAUAUAUUAGGUGGGAAUGAACGCCAAGCGUUUUCAUGAUCAGUGAUUGCAACUGCAACAUUACAUUUGAUCCAGUCUGGAUAGAGUAUUUUCAUUCAAACAUACAAUGCUGCAGUGCAAAAUAUUUUCCUCUUUAAUGGCAUUUUACCUAAUCAUAAUCUAAUUCAUUUAUUAUAAAAAAAGAACACCAAUUACUUAUUAUCUGUUGUGACACAGUUCAGGGUUUCCUUAACCUGCACGACUGCUCAGAAAAGUAAUAAGAAUGCAUCAGCAAACCUGCUCUAUGAAUUCUGUUCGUCGUCACGAACACUGGAUUGGUUAGACAAUGAAAGAUGUGUUUUUUUAUACAGUUCACUCAUUCAUAAUAAAAUGUAUAUUUUGAAUACUUUCUGAAAUGACAUUCGUA
Sinocyclocheilus anshuiensis is the source of this 1045-nucleotide long non-coding RNA. The record is from Ensembl. Lineage: Eukaryota; Metazoa; Chordata; Actinopteri; Cypriniformes; Cyprinidae.